Molecule: ribosomal RNA, 459 nt
Filed under: uncultured bacterium
Lineage: Bacteria
Description: partial 16S ribosomal RNA
Rfam family: Bacterial small subunit ribosomal RNA
Source: RNAcentral
CCUACGGGGGGCAGCAGUGAGGAAUAUUGGUCAAUGGCCGGAAGGCUGAACCAGCCAAGCCGCGUGAAGGACGAAGGUGCCAAGCAUUGUAAACUUCUUUUGUCAAGGGACAAAAUCAGGCUCGAGAGCCUGACCGAGGGUACUUGAAGAAAAAGCAUCGGCUAACUCCGUGCCAGCAGCCGCGGUAAUACGGAGGAUGCGAGCGUUAUCCGGUUUUAUUGGGUUUAAAGGGUGCGUAGGCGGGCUGUUAAGUCAGCGGUAAAAGCCCGGGGCUCAACCCCGGCGAGCCGUUGAAACUGUCGGUCUUGAGAUGUCGAGCGGUAUGCGGAAUGCGCAGUGUAGCGGUGAAAUGCUUAGAUAUUGCGCAGAACUCCGAUUGCGAAGGCAGCAUACCGGCGGCGAUCUGACGCUGAGGCACGAAAGCGUGGGUAUCGAACAGGAUUAGAUACCCCGGUAGUC